CAGCAGCCGCGGGAAUACGUAGGUGGCAAGCGUUGUCCGGAAUUAUUGGGCGUAAAGGGCUCGCAGGCGGUUUCUUAAGUCUGAUGUGAAAGCCCCCGGCUCAACCGGGGAGGGUCAUUGGAAACUGGGAAACUUGAGUGCAGAAGAGGAGAGUGGAAUUCCACGUGUAGCGGUGAAAUGCGCAGAGAUGUGGAGGAACACCAGUGGCGAAGGCGACUCUCUGGUCUGUAACUGACGCUGAGGAGCGAGAGCGUGGGGAGCGAACAGGAUUAGAUACCCCGGUAGUCCCUGUCUCUUAUAA
RNAcentral lists this ribosomal RNA (301 nucleotides) under uncultured bacterium. RNAcentral's name for it is "partial 16S ribosomal RNA". It matches the Rfam family "Bacterial small subunit ribosomal RNA", at positions 509 to 809 of the family's 1533-position model. The record is from RNAcentral.